UGAGGAAUAUUGGUCAAUGGACGCAAGUCUGAACCAGCCAAGUAGCGUGCAGGAUGACGGCCCUAUGGGUUGUAAACUGCUUUUAUAUGGGGAUAAAGUGGGGAACGUGUUCCCUUUUGCAGGUACCAUAUGAAUAAGGACCGGCUAAUUCCGUGCCAGCAGCCGCGGUAAUACGGAAGGUUCGGGCGUUAUCCGGAUUUAUUGGGUUUAAAGGGAGCGUAGGCCGUUUGGUAAGCGUGUUGUGAAAUGUAGGAGCUCAACUUCUAGAUUGCAGCGCGAACUGUCAGACUUAAGUGCGAAGAACGUAGGCGGAAUUCAUGGUGUAGCGGUAAAAUGCUUAGAUAUCGUGAAGAAAUCCGAUUGCGAAGGCAGCUUACGGGAGCGCAACUGACGCGGAAGCUCGAAGGUGCGGGUAUCGAACAGG
Molecule: ribosomal RNA, 424 nt
Filed under: Verrucomicrobiota bacterium
Lineage: Bacteria; Pseudomonadati; Verrucomicrobiota
Description: Verrucomicrobia bacterium partial 16S ribosomal RNA
Rfam family: Bacterial small subunit ribosomal RNA
Source: RNAcentral